Molecule: transfer RNA, 98 nt
Filed under: Puccinia graminis f. sp. tritici
Lineage: Eukaryota; Fungi; Basidiomycota; Pucciniomycetes; Pucciniales; Pucciniaceae
Description: tRNA-Pro
Rfam family: tRNA
About the family: Transfer RNA (tRNA) molecules are approximately 80 nucleotides in length.
Source: RNAcentral
GGCCUUAUGGUCUAGUCGUAUGAUUCUCCCUUUGGGUGCCAUCAUCAGGAUGGUAUCAACAUUGGGAGAGGUCUCGGGUUCAAUUCCCGAUGAGGCCC